RNAcentral lists this RNase P RNA (379 nucleotides) under Mucilaginibacter sp. JRF. Its description in RNAcentral is "Bacterial RNase P class A". It matches the Rfam family "Bacterial RNase P class A". From Rfam's summary of the family: Ribonuclease P (RNase P) is a ubiquitous endoribonuclease, found in archaea, bacteria and eukarya as well as chloroplasts and mitochondria. Lineage: Bacteria; Pseudomonadati; Bacteroidota; Sphingobacteriia; Sphingobacteriales; Sphingobacteriaceae. The record is from Rfam by way of RNAcentral.
CCUGCAAAACGUUCUAUCGCUCCGUUUAGGCGGGGAGGAAAGUCCGGGCAACGCAGAGCAUCCUGCUUCCUAACGGGAAGGCGCCGGCAGCCGGCGACAGCAAGUGCCACAGAGAAUAUACCGCCCGCAAGGGUAAGGGUGAAAACGUGAGGUAAGAGCUCACGGCUUUUCCGGGCGACCGGGAUCGCGGUAAACCUCAGGAGUUGAAAGACCAAAUAGGUCCUGAUCAGUGAAGUUGCUCGCUUCCGUGCCGGUUUUACUAUCGGGCAUCAGGAUGGGUAGGUUGCUUACGAGCCUGUUAGCAAUGGCAGGCCCAGAUAAAUGAUAGAAGCCAUAAGCAAUUAUGGAACAGAACCCGGCUUAUAAUUUUGCUGCUGAU